ACAUCAUGUUGAAACACCAGUUUUCAUACAAUCACCAAAGUUAAGCAACAUUGAACCUAGUUAGUACCUAGAUGGGUGACUGCUCAGGAAUACCAGGUGGUGUA
Non-coding RNA from Acanthosepion pharaonis, 104 nucleotides. NCBI's taxonomy places the organism in Eukaryota, Metazoa, Mollusca, Cephalopoda, Sepiida, Sepiidae. The record is from the annotation of a GenBank genome assembly.